This 492-nucleotide ribosomal RNA is filed under the name uncultured bacterium. RNAcentral describes it as "partial 16S ribosomal RNA". It matches the Rfam family "Bacterial small subunit ribosomal RNA", at positions 29 to 507 of the family's 1533-position model. The record is from RNAcentral.
AGUGAACGCUGGCGGUAGGCCUAACACAUGCAAGUCGAACGGCAGCACAGUAAGAGCUUGCUCUUACGGGUGGCGAGUGGCGGACGGGUGAGGAAUACAUCGGAAUCUACUUUUUCGUGGGGGUUAACGUAGGGAAACUUACGCUAAUACCGCAUACGACCUACGGGUGAAAGCAGGGGAUCUUCGGACCUUGCGCGAUUGAAUGAGCCGAUGUCGGAUUAGCUAGUUGGCGGGGUAAAGGCCCUCCAAGGCGACGAUCCGUAGCUGGUCUGAGAGGAUGAUCAGCCACACUGGAACUGAGACACGGUCCAGACUCCUACGGGAGGCAGCAGUGGGGAAUAUUGGACAAUGGGCGCAAGCCUGAUCCAGCCAUACCGCGUGGGUGAAGAAGGCCUUCGGGUUGUAAAGCCCUUUUGUUGGGAAAGAAAAGCAGCAGGUUAAUACCCCGCUGUUCUGACGGUACCCAAAGAAUAAGCACCGGCUAACUUCGUG